This 286-nucleotide long non-coding RNA is filed under the name Elaeis guineensis (African oil palm). RNAcentral describes it as "long non-coding RNA (EGUI_LNC055000)". Lineage: Eukaryota; Viridiplantae; Streptophyta; Magnoliopsida; Arecales; Arecaceae. The record is from RNAcentral.
AUCAGCAACCAAUUGAUUCCCUAGGGUGCUAGCUGUUAGAUGUAUGCGCUAAAAGUCAAUCUGACCGACACAUUAAUUUUUUCUAGGAUAUAAUUUUAUACUUGACUUAAUUAAUUAGAGCAGUUAAUUUCAUUCAUGUAGUGUAUGUUGAGAAAUAUAUCCUAAAGCCAAUCGUUUGACGAUUGUGCUAAUUAUAAAUAUAUAUGAAUUGAUCAAUAAUAAAAGUUAUUUGAUUUUUUUUUAUCAUAAGAUUAUAUCUUCUAAUGAACUUCUAUAUUGUGAUAAA